AUAAUAAUUGUAUGGCAAACUACUCGGUGUGAUCAAUAAACCCAAUUUGUUUAUUAGCGAAACAUAUUGACACGGCUGCCAAAAUGAUCGGAUGCCCUUCUUUUCAUUUUGUCCAAUUGUCAACUAUGCGCGCGUGUGUGUGUGUGCGUGCGUCCGUGUGUGCGUGCGUGUGUACCGAUCUUCGCGUAUCAAAAACUUGUCGGGUCAUGCAGACAACAAUAGUCCAUGGUGGACGAUAAGUUAGAUACCUAAGUAGGGUACGGUAUGAUUGACUAUAUAAAGAUGAAAUAUGUGAUGAAUAGCGUUGGAUACUAGGGAGCCCAAAACAUGAGGUCUUGCCAAAGGGUCGCAGGGCCCGUGCGGCUCAAGUCCGUGUGCCACCUCUGCUUUUCUUUUCUUUUUUCUUCUUUCUCAUCUGUAAACAAUAUGUUAGAUAUAUUUAUUACAUCUAACUCGUUCGUGCUCUAUCAUUCAAGAGAUGUCAAACUCGUUGGACGACUUAUGUUGGAGAAUUUUGUGACCACAGAGCGGUCGGUGGUCGUAAAAUUGUGCCAGCUAUAUACGAAUACGUAUGCAUAGGUAUAACGAGUUGAUUCUUUCAUUGCAUUUCACUCUGUUCACGGGCAUGGACUCAUAGUGUGUACAGUUGACGAGAGAUAUUUAUCUU
Diprion similis is the source of this 667-nucleotide long non-coding RNA. RefSeq lists it as uncharacterized. The transcript is spliced from 3 exons. NCBI's taxonomy places the organism in Eukaryota, Metazoa, Arthropoda, Insecta, Hymenoptera, Diprionidae. The record is from RefSeq and is a predicted model, not a curated record.